RNAcentral lists this transfer RNA (69 nucleotides) under Dipodomys ordii (Ord's kangaroo rat). It matches the Rfam family "tRNA". From Rfam's summary of the family: Transfer RNA (tRNA) molecules are approximately 80 nucleotides in length. Their secondary structure includes four short double-helical elements and three loops (D, anti-codon, and T loops). The record is from Rfam by way of RNAcentral. Lineage: Eukaryota; Metazoa; Chordata; Mammalia; Rodentia; Heteromyidae.
GGAAUUGUGACUUAGUGUAGAGUGCUUGUCUGGCAUGCAUGAAGCUCUAGGUUUGAUUCCUCAGUACCA